GAACGGCAGCAUUUUCUAGCUUGCUAGAAAGAUGGCGAGUGGCGAACGGGUGAGUAACGCGUAGGAAUAUGCCUUGAAGUGGGGGACAACUUGGGGAAACUCAAGCUAAUACCGCAUAAUAUCUAAGGAUGAAAGCUGGGGACCUUCGGGCCUGGCGCUUUAAGAUUAGCCUGCGUCCGAUUAGCUAGUUGGUGGGGUAAGGGCCUACCAAGGCGACGAUCGGUAGCUGGUCUGAGAGGAUGACCAGCCACACUGGAACUGAGACACGGUCCAGACUCCUACGGGAGGCAGCAGUGGGGAAUAUUGGACAAUGGGGGCAACCCUGAUCCAGCAAUGCCGCGUGUGUGAAGAAGGCCUGAGGGUUGUAAAGCACUUUCAGUGGGGAGGAGGAUGAUUAGGUUAAGAGCUAGAUUAUUGGACGUUACCCACAGAAGAAGCACCGGCUAACUCCGUGCCAGCAGCCGCGGUAAUACGGAGGGUGCAAGCGUUAAUCGGAAUUACUGGGCGUAAAGAGUGCGUAGGUGGUUGAAUAAGUUAUCUGUGAAAUCCCUGGGCUUAACCUGGGCAGGUCAGAUGAUACUGUUUGACUCGAGUAUGGGAGAGGGUAGUGGAAUUUCCGGUGUAGCGGUGAAAUGCGUAGAGAUCGG
Molecule: ribosomal RNA, 647 nt
Filed under: uncultured bacterium
Lineage: Bacteria
Description: bacterial SSU rRNA
Rfam family: Bacterial small subunit ribosomal RNA
Source: RNAcentral